This 254-nucleotide ribosomal RNA is filed under the name uncultured bacterium. RNAcentral describes it as "partial 16S ribosomal RNA". It matches the Rfam family "Bacterial small subunit ribosomal RNA", at positions 524 to 776 of the family's 1533-position model. The record is from RNAcentral.
UACGGGGGGAGCAAGCGUUGUUCGGAUUUACUGGGCGUAAAGGGCGCGUAGGCGGCCAGCACAAGUCAGUUGUGAAAUCUCCGAGCUUAACUCGGAAAGGUCAACUGAUACUGUGCGGCUAGAGUGCAGAAGGGGCAACUGGAAUUCUCGGUGUAGCGGUGAAAUGCGUAGAUAUCGGGAAGAACACCCGUGGCGAAGGCGGUUCUCUGGGACGGUACUGACGCUGAGACGCGAAAGCGUGGGGAGCGAACAGG